Molecule: ribosomal RNA, 370 nt
Filed under: uncultured organism
Description: partial 16S ribosomal RNA
Rfam family: Bacterial small subunit ribosomal RNA
Source: RNAcentral
GGAGGGCGCAAGCGUUAAUCGGAAUUACUGGGCGUAAAGCGCGCGUAGGCGGUUUGGUCAGUCGGAUGUGAAAGCCCUGGGCUUAACCUGGGAAUGGCAUUCGAUACUGCCUGACUAGAGUAUGGUAGAGGGAAGUGGAAUUUCCGGUGUAGCGGUGAAAUGCGUAGAUAUCGGAAGGAACACCAGUGGCGAAGGCGACUUCCUGGGCCAAUACUGACGCUGAGGUGCGAAAGCGUGGGGAGCAAACAGGGAUUAGAUACCCUGGUAGUCCACGCCGUAAACGAUGAGAACUAGAUGUCGGGAGGGUUGCCUUUCGGUGUCGCAGCUAACGCGUUAAGUUCUCCGCCUGGGGGAUACGCCGGCAACGGUA